UGCGACCUCUGCUUCCUCCUUGCAGCCCUUUAGCACUGUAGUGGUGCUCUCUGGUAGCAUCCAGUGUGGAGAUGGACCACAGGUGCCAUUGCAUAGCCACCCUAGGCCCCAAGAGAAGCUGUGGACAUUGCAACAUGCUCUGAGGGUCUUGUUUGUUCAUCCAGCCUCAGUUCUCCACCAGAAGGGUAACUCAACCGUUAAGUCAGCACCUGCCUUCAGUAUCCAACAGACUGCAGAACCCACCUUUGUGUGAAGGAGGUCAAGGCCCUCUAAAGUUUGUGCUAAAUCUCUAUUUGAACUUCAAGUUACAUUUUUAAUUAGAAGAACACUACAAUAGGCGUGAAGAACUACAACAAAAUAGGAAUACUAGUAAUAACAGGGGCAGGAUAUUUGCAUUCAAAAUCAGAAUAGAAUUAAAUUUAAAGGAAGAGUCCACAUAUUAUCCUAAGCUUUGCAUUUGGCGAUUUGGAUUGCUCCUUAAACAAGCCUCCUUUCUAGCUUGGCCUCUCAGCAGAGAGCAGAAGAGGGCACGGGCCAUUCACCUGUUAGUAACACAGAACGUGAUCCACAAGUGACUCCUAGCUACAAAGUCAAAGGCAAAAGC
This 604-nucleotide long non-coding RNA is filed under the name Fukomys damarensis (Damara mole-rat). RNAcentral describes it as "lncRNA (ENSFDAG00000027985.1)". Lineage: Eukaryota; Metazoa; Chordata; Mammalia; Rodentia; Bathyergidae. The record is from RNAcentral.